RNAcentral lists this transfer RNA (75 nucleotides) under Pimelobacter simplex. Its description in RNAcentral is "tRNA-Val". It matches the Rfam family "tRNA". Rfam says of the family: Transfer RNA (tRNA) molecules are approximately 80 nucleotides in length. Their secondary structure includes four short double-helical elements and three loops (D, anti-codon, and T loops). Further hydrogen bonds mediate the characteristic L-shaped molecular structure. tRNAs have two regions of fundamental functional importance: the anti-codon, which is responsible for specific mRNA codon recognition, and the 3' end, to which the tRNAs corresponding amino acid is attached (by aminoacyl-tRNA synthetases). tRNAs cope with the degeneracy of the genetic code in two manners: having more than one tRNA (with a specific anti-codon) for a particular amino acid; and 'wobble' base-pairing, i.e. permitting non-standard base-pairing at the 3rd anti-codon position. RNAcentral also lists the same sequence under 2 other names. The record is from RNAcentral. Lineage: Bacteria; Bacillati; Actinomycetota; Actinomycetes; Propionibacteriales; Nocardioidaceae.
GGGCGCAUAGCUCAGCGGUAGAGCUCCUCGCUUACAACGAGGCGGUCACAGGUUCGAUCCCUGUUGCGCCCACCA